Non-coding RNA from Chiloscyllium plagiosum (whitespotted bambooshark), 393 nucleotides. Lineage: Eukaryota; Metazoa; Chordata; Chondrichthyes; Orectolobiformes; Hemiscylliidae. The record is from the annotation of a RefSeq genome assembly.
UCGCCAGCAUCAGGAGCAGCGAUGUGGCUCUCCGUCCUGUCACUGGUAUGGAUAACAUGCUUUGUUGAUCUGAGCGAUGGAGAUCCUGUCACGCAAUGGGAGCCCUACCUCACACAGACGGAGGGAGAACAAGUCACUUUAAACUGCACCUACAAUGGAAACCCUUAUUCCGUGUUUUGGUACCGCCAGUAUCCAGGCAGACAGCCCGAGUUUAUCAUCUGGAGUUACACGAGUAGUGGUGUUGAAACGAAGGCUAAUUUUGCUCAGUUCCGGUUUUCUGCUGCCCUCCAACACAUAGACAAGUUGAACCAAUUGACCAUCUCGGACGUCCUACUGUCUGACACUGCGAUAUAUUACUGUGCAAUGAGACUCACAGUGAUGGGAACGAACUGA